RNAcentral lists this ribosomal RNA (468 nucleotides) under uncultured bacterium. Its description in RNAcentral is "partial 16S ribosomal RNA". It matches the Rfam family "Bacterial small subunit ribosomal RNA", at positions 28 to 507 of the family's 1533-position model. The record is from RNAcentral.
GACGAACGCUGGCGGCGUGCUUAACACAUGCAAGUCGAACGGAAAGGCCCUGCUUUUGUGGGGUGCUCGAGUGGCGAACGGGUGAGUAACACGUGAGUAACCUGCCCUUGACUUUGGGAUAACUUCAGGAAACUGGGGCUAAUACCGGAUAGGAGCUCCUGCUGCAUGGUGGGGGUUGGAAAGUUUCGGCGGUUGGGGAUGGACUCGCGGCUUAUCAGCUUGUUGGUGGGGUAGUGGCUUACCAAGGCUUUGACGGGUAGCCGGCCUGAGAGGGUGACCGGCCACAUUGGGACUGAGAUACGGCCCAGACUCCUACGGGAGGCAGCAGUGGGGAGUAUUGCACAAUGGGCGGAAGCCUGAUGCAGCAACGCCGCGUGCGGGAUGACGGCCUUCGGGUUGUAAACCGCUUUCGCCUGCGACGAAGCGUGAGUGACGGUAAUGGGUAAAGAAGCACCGGCUAACUACGUG